RNAcentral lists this ribosomal RNA (545 nucleotides) under Phlegmacium superbum. RNAcentral describes it as "eukaryotic LSU rRNA". It matches the Rfam family "Eukaryotic large subunit ribosomal RNA", at positions 1 to 545 of the family's 3401-position model. Lineage: Eukaryota; Fungi; Basidiomycota; Agaricomycetes; Agaricales; Cortinariaceae. The record is from RNAcentral.
GUGACCUCAAAUCAGGUAGGACUACCCGCUGAACUUAAGCAUAUCAAUAAGCGGAGGAAAAGAAACUAACAAGGAUUCCCCUAGUAACUGCGAGUGAAGCGGGAAAAGCUCAAAUUUAAAAUCUGUCAGUCUUUGACUGUCCGAAUUGUAAUCUAGAGAAGUGUUAUCCGCGUUGGACCGUGUACAAGUCUCCUGGAAUGGAGCGUCAUAGAGGGUGAGAAUCCCGUCUUUGACACGGACUGCCAGGGCUCUGUGAUACACUCUCAAAGAGUCGAGUUGUUUGGGAAUGCAGCUCAAAAUGGGUGGUAAAUUCCAUCUAAAGCUAAAUAUUGGCGAGAGACCGAUAGCGAACAAGUACCGUGAGGGAAAGAUGAAAAGAACUUUGGAAAGAGAGUUAAACAGUACGUGAAAUUGCUGAAAGGGAAACGCUUGAAGUCAGUCGCGUUGUCCAGGGAUCAACCUUGCUUUUGCUUGGUGUAUUUUCUGGUUAACGGGUCAGCAUCAAUUUUGACUAUUGGAAAAAAGUCAAGGGAAUGUGGCAUCUU